Molecule: RNA transcript, 2698 nt
Organism: Raphanus sativus (radish)
Lineage: Eukaryota; Viridiplantae; Streptophyta; Magnoliopsida; Brassicales; Brassicaceae
Exons: 2
Source: RefSeq, a predicted model, not a curated record
AAGAAAACAGCAUUUUGGCGAGGAAAGUUAACGAGGAAAUAUAAUCCUCGUAAAUUUACGAGGAACUUACGAGGAAUUUACAAAGAAAGAAAUAAACCUCGUUAUUUCCUCGUAAACUAACGAAGACAGUUUUUUGUCGUAAAGCCCACGUAACAUUACGUGGUAUUUACGAGGAAAUACACUUUCCUCGUAAAGACCACGUAAAGCUUGCAUUAUUUUUACGAGGAAAAGUGGAAAUAUACUUUCCUCGUUAAAUCAACGUAAAUUUACGUCACCUUUACGAGGAAAUGAUAUACGUGAACUUAACGAGGAAUUUUAAAGCACGUUUUUUUUUGCUACCUACCUUUUCCUCGCAAAUUCAUCGCAAAACUUCAACUACCAGAUUCGAAAAUUUUCUAUAAAUAUGGAAGUUUCAACAUCAUUUUAAACACACCAACAAGGAAAAAAAAGAAAAACGUGAAAGGAAAAAAAUGUCAGGCUCCGGGAAUGUCUACGAGUUGCGGAGGUGGAUGUAUAUGCAUAGAGAUGCUAACGGGAGAGUGACGAAAGAAUACAUUGCAGGACUGGAGACAUUUAUGCAUCAAGCAGAUUCCACACCGCUCGCCCUAGAAAGCGGUAAGAUGUUCUGUCCAUGUCGGAAAUGCAACAAUUCGAAAUUGGCAAAUCGUGAAAAUGUUUGGAAGCAUUUAAUAAAUAGAGGUUUCACGCCAAAUUACUAUAUCUGGUUUCAACAUGGAGAAGGUUAUAAUAAUUAUGAUCAGAAUGAAGCUAGUAGUAGUAAUAGCAAUUUUCAGGAAGAACCGGUUGCUCUUCAUUUGCAUAAUGAACCUAGUUACCAUCAGGAAGAGCAGAUGGUAGAUUUUGAUAGGGUUCAUGAUAUGGUAACUGAUGCAUUUGUAGCUCAUGAUGAAGAUGAAGAACCUAACAUAGAUGCAAAAAAGUUUUAUGAAAUGUUAAAUGCGGCGAAUCAACCACUUUACAGUGGUUGUAGAGAAGGUCUCUCUAAAUUGUCGUUGGCUGCUAGAAUGAUGAAUAUUAAAACUGAUCACAAUCUACCUGAAAGUUGCAUGAAUGAAUGGGCAGACUUGUUCAAAGAGUAUUUGCCGGAAGACAAUGUGUCUGCUGAUUCUUAUUAUGAGAUUCAGAAACUGGUGUAUAGUCUUGGGUCGCCUUCGGAGAUGAUAGAUGUUUGCAUCGACAACUGCAUGAUCUACUGGGGAAAUGAUGAGAAGUUAGAAGAAUGUCGAUUCUGCAAGAAGCCACGAUUCAAGCCGCAAGGACGGGGACGUAAUAGGGUACCGUACCAAAGGAUGUGGUACCUACCAAUUACAGACAGAUUGAAAAGAUUGUACCAAUCAGAGCAGACUGCUGGAAAGAUGAGAUGGCAUGCCGAGCAUACUCAGACGGAUGGUGAGAUGACACAUCCAUCAGAUGCAAGAGCCUGGAAACAUUUUAACAAACUAUAUCCGGAAUUCGCUAGCAAUAUCCGGAAUGUGUAUCUCGGAUUAUGCACAGAUGGAUUUAGUCCAUUCGGAAUGUCAGGGAGACAAUAUUCAUUGUGGCCAGUCUUUCUUACGCCAUACAACCUGCCACCGGAGAUGUGCAUGCAACGGGAGUUGCUAUUCUUGACCAUAUUAAUACCUGGUCCGAAACAUCCUAAAAGGUCGCUGGAUGUUUUCCUGCAACCACUGAUAAAAGAGUUGAAGGAUUUAUGGUCAACAGGGGAGAGGACGUAUGACUGCUCAACGAAGACGAAUUUCACGAUGCGAGCGAUGCUUUUGUGGACCAUAAGCGACUUUCCUGCCUAUGGGAUGUUGUCGGGAUGGACUACACAUGAAAGAUUAGCUUGUCCAUAUUGUAAUGGAGCGACAGAUGCGUUUCAACUGAAGAAUGGGAGGAAGACAAGUUGGUUCGAUUGUCAUCGUAGAUUUCUUCCCAUUGGCCAUCCGUACCGAAGAAACAAGACAUUGUUUAGGCACAAAAGGGUUGUGAGAGACACUCCUCCUCCAUAUUUAACUGGAGAAGAAACUGAAAAGCAACUCGAUUACUAUGGAGCUUUGGAAACAGUUCCUCGUGGUGGUAAUUGGCAUGUUCCCCCUAAUAUGCCUGAUUCUUACGGUGUUCAUCACAACUGGCACAAGAAGAGUAUAUUUUGGGAGUUGCCAUAUUGGAAGGAUCUUCUUCUGCGCCACAACCUCGAUGUGAUGCAUAUAGAGAAGAAUUUCUUUGAGAACAUCAUGAAUACAAUAUUGAAUGUCCCGGGGAAGACAAAAGACAACAUAAAAUCGAGGUUAGACUUGCUGGAUAUUUGCUUAAGAAGCGAGUUACAUAUAAACAGCAAUGGGCAAGUUCCUGUUCCGAUAUUCAGAUUGUCUUCAGAAAAAAAGUCGGUGUUGUUCAACUGGGUAGCAUCAGAAGUGAAAUUCCCCGAUGGGUAUGUUUUAAAAUGUCUAGAUGCGUUGAAAAGGGUCAAAAGUUCUCCGGGAUGAAGAGUCAUGACUGUCAUGUCUUUAUGCAACGACUACUUCCCUUUGCUUUUGCGGAGCUACUUCCUACAAACGCAUUGGAGCAUUUUUCAGGGAUCUGAGCACCCGCACCCUUAAAGUAGAAGUCGUGGAACAGCUUCAAGAGAACAUUCUCAUCUUAUUGUGCAACUUGGAGAAGAUAUUUCCUCCUGGGUUUUUUGACGUAAUGGAGC